This is a long non-coding RNA of Empidonax traillii (willow flycatcher), 2471 nucleotides long. RefSeq lists it as uncharacterized. Lineage: Eukaryota; Metazoa; Chordata; Aves; Passeriformes; Tyrannidae. The transcript is spliced from 3 exons. The record is from RefSeq and is a predicted model, not a curated record.
AUUUAAUAUAUUACAGAUUCUGAGACAGCCAGCUGGUAUUAAUGAAAACCAGAGAACUACUGAAGAUGCAUAUUUUACACUAAUGUUUUACUAAUAGCUGGAAUUGCAGCUGAAGUGAGCCUCCUUUAUUUUUCUAAAAGAAUCCCUAAUGACUGGAAUAUGUUGCUGUACUCUUACACUGUAGUGAGGAUCUCCAAAAUCAGCAGGAACAGCAAUUGCAAGGCAGCCAACCUGAAGUCCCUCAACCACCUUUCUCUAUAUGAAGGUCUGUUCUCCCUUCCCCUGGCAGUUAUACCAUUGUGCUGGAAGAAUUUUCUAAUGUCUUCUAUUUGUAUUUUCUAAUGUCUUUUUAAUGUCUUUUUAGUGUCUUCUAUUUCACGUCCUCAAGUGUGGGACCUUACAUAUGUUGUAAUAGUUUUUGGUAUUGGUUGAAGUCCCAUUAAGCUUCUGAAGUUCUUAAAUUGCUUCUUGGAGGGUUUGCUUUCUUUUUUUUUUCCUGUAACUCAGGUUAUAAAAGUAGCACCAUAAACAUUAAUUGAAGAGCCAUUAAGCAGUAUGGCUGUUUGUUUUGGUUGAUAGAGGAUAUAAAGCUUCAUACCCUGUGGUGGAAAACAAUUAGAUAUGAUGAUGAACAUGCUAUUAAAUAUACCAUUACCAGACUUCUAUCAGUUUAACUUUAGAAAAUAGCAACCAGCUGUAGCCGAAGCAUACACAAGUGAUAGGAAGUCAUAUUUUAAUUGUCAUGUCAUAGCCUGUUAUAAAUAUUGUCGUUUCUAAUGUUUUAUGCUAAUGACAGUGAGUAAUAGGAGUCAUUACUUCCAUUCAUUCUCAUUAAAAUUUCCUCAAGAGAGGAUGAUCACAACCAGAAUGCUGUUUAAAAUAAACUGUUUUUCUAAAAUAGAGCACAUAAAAAACAUUUAAAUACCAAGAGGUUGGCUAGCUAAUUUAUUUUGUGAUAGCAUGUGUUCAACAACUGCAGCUUUUGUUAAUUGUGCCAUCAGUUGAAUAGAUAUUCGUUUUAGAAACGUUUUUGGCAUACUAAUGUGUGUACAUGUCAUGUCUUCAUAUGGUCUCUGAAGAGUGGGAUAAAAGGUGAAUCUUAGAGAGACCAAAAAAAAAAGUCUUAUGCUACCCCUAUAGAGGCUUAAUAUUAAGAACAUUGAAUUUCCUCAUCCAUUUCUUAUUUCAGUUAUGAAUUCUGCUUACUUGACAGGUACAGAGUACUUCAUUAUGUGCACGAACAGAAAUGCUUAAAUGGAUGAAGCAGCUAUUUACGUCUGAUAGGAGCUAAGUGGGACAUUAAAUUAAUGCCAAACAAACACCCUGAAACAUCCUGCAAGGGGAUCAGCUGAGGAAAGAACAGUACACAUUUUAUUUUGUGAUACUGGACACAAUACAGAUGUUAGAGAUCAGAGGCUAUCAGAUGAAGGAGUAAGCAAGCAUGCUAAAAUUAUACCGCGGUUUCAGCAUAAGUCUUCUUUUGGGGUACUUGAAACAAAGAUGUGAAAAUUAAACUGGAUUUACCUAAACAUUUUUAGUAAACAGAGGUACCAUUUCAGAAUUAAUAUAUUUCUUUAGAUUCACACAUGUAUAAUACAUUUCAUUGCUGUUUAAAAAAGUAAUGUUACCAUAAUCUGAGUUUUGAAGGAAAAGACUAAAUACUUAAACAAGGUCAUGAACUGCUAGAUGAGAAGAAUAUAUGUGAAUUACAUAGACUAAAGAAACGGCAUCGAUGGGGACAUGGGCAGUGAGAUCACGAGUCAUUGACUAUGGCUUUGUGCUUCAGAGUGGGUUUAAUCUUAUUGACUGCUUUCCAUUCAUUCUCUUAUUUCCAUUGAAUAAGAUUCUAAAUCUUCUCCAGGUAAGAAGUGAAUAUUAUGCAAUCCAGUAGAUUUUGUACCCUGUUUUUAGCGUAUACAAGGCACAUCAGUGGUGCCAGUGUUUAUUCUUAACAUUCUGUAGUAAUCACCAAAUUUCACAACUCUGGGCGGUCAUGACUUCUGUAAAAGCAAAGAGAUAUUUCUAAAGCCUUCUACUGAGUAAUAAACCAGUGGCUUUUAUCCAGAUUUUGCAGGUCACUGAAUGUUCAAAACAGCAAAGCAAAUUAAAAGAGCCCCUUCUCUUUUGUUAUCAUGGUAAUUUUGCACUUGAGUAUAUGAUGAUGUGCUAAUGUAAAAGCUACUAAGGAAGAUACGGAGGGAUCUUCUUCUAACACUGCCUUGAAAGGUAGACAUAAAUGUUGCAUUUCAAACCACAACUCUCCUUGAAAUUUGAUUUCAUUUUAAAAGGCAUCUUGAGCACGAAAUUUUUGUUCCUUAUUAACUUCCAAUCAGAUGACUCCACACAGAAGUAAAAACAUAAAUUUCUUAUUGUCAGUCCUGUAACCUCAGCCUGAAAAUCAAGUGGCUACUUUUUGAUUUAUGUCUCAUCACUAUUAUUUAUGCUUCUACAGGCCAGAAAUUUUUUUUCCC